Molecule: transfer RNA, 73 nt
Filed under: Candidatus Riflebacteria bacterium GWC2_50_8
Lineage: Bacteria; Candidatus Rifleibacteriota
Also listed under: 13 other names
Description: tRNA-Gly
Rfam family: tRNA
About the family: Transfer RNA (tRNA) molecules are approximately 80 nucleotides in length.
Source: RNAcentral
GCGGGAAUAGCUCAGUUGGUAGAGCGCCACCUUGCCAAGGUGGAUGUCGCGGGUUCAAGUCCCGUUUCCCGCU